UACGGCGAGUGAAGCGGCAAAAGCUCAAAUUUGAAAUCUGGUACCUUUGGUGCCCGAGUUGUAAUUUGUAGAAGGUAACUUUGGGGCUGGUCCUUGUCUAUGUUCCUUGGAACAGGACGUCAUAGAGGGUGAGAAUCCCGUGUGGCGAGGAUCCCAGUUCUUUGUAAAGUGCUUUCGAAGAGUCGAGUUGUUUGGGAAUGCAGCUCUAAGUGGGUGGUAAAUUCCAUCUAAAGCUAAAUAUUGGCGAGAGACCGAUAGCGAACAAGUACAGUGAUGGAAAGAUGAAAAGAACUUUGAAAAGAGAGUGAAAAAGUACGUGAAAUUGUUGAAAGGGAAGGGCAUUUGAUCAGACAUGGUGUUUUGCGCCCUCUGCUCCUUGUGGGUGGGGGAAUCUCGCAGCUCACUGGGCCAGCAUCAGUUUUGGCGGCAGGAUAAAUCUGCAGGAAUGUAGCUUGCCUCGGUAAGUGUUAUAUCCUGUAGAAAUACUGCCAGCUGGGACUGAGGACUGCGACUUUACGUCAAGGAUGCUGGCAUAAUGGUUAUAUGCCGCCCGUCUUG
RNAcentral lists this ribosomal RNA (558 nucleotides) under Torulaspora delbrueckii. RNAcentral's name for it is "partial large subunit ribosomal RNA". It matches the Rfam family "Eukaryotic large subunit ribosomal RNA", at positions 85 to 656 of the family's 3401-position model. Lineage: Eukaryota; Fungi; Ascomycota; Saccharomycetes; Saccharomycetales; Saccharomycetaceae. The record is from RNAcentral.